This 379-nucleotide RNase P RNA is filed under the name Alphaproteobacteria bacterium. RNAcentral describes it as "RNase P RNA component class A". It matches the Rfam family "Bacterial RNase P class A". From Rfam's summary of the family: Ribonuclease P (RNase P) is a ubiquitous endoribonuclease, found in archaea, bacteria and eukarya as well as chloroplasts and mitochondria. The record is from RNAcentral. Lineage: Bacteria; Pseudomonadati; Pseudomonadota; Alphaproteobacteria.
CCAGAGGGCUGGAUGACCGCUGGGGUGUUGAGCCCUGGAGGAAAGUCCGGGCUCCACUGAAAGCAUGGCGCCGGGUAACGCCCGGCGGGGGCGACCCCAGGGACAGCGCCACAGAAAUCAAACCGCCCGCCUACGCGCUCGCGCGCUUCGGAGGGUAAGGGUGAAAUGGUGCGGUAAGAGCGCACCGCGCUUGCGGUAACGCAGGCGGCACGGCAAGCCCCGCCAGGAGCAAGGCCAAAUAGGGACGGCAGAUGGGCUGCUUCAGGCUCGUCGUCCGGGUCGGCUGCGCGAGGCGCCCGGUGACGGGCGUCCCAGAGGAAUGGUCAUCCAUUCCCGGCAACGGGAGGGACAGAACCCGGCUUACAGGCCCUCUGGCUCA